RNAcentral lists this long non-coding RNA (224 nucleotides) under Manihot esculenta (cassava). Its description in RNAcentral is "long non-coding RNA (MESC_LNC006920)". Lineage: Eukaryota; Viridiplantae; Streptophyta; Magnoliopsida; Malpighiales; Euphorbiaceae. The record is from RNAcentral.
ACAGCAGUUGCUACCAGUCGUAACCGUGUCAUAUUUCAGUUUUAAGGCAAAAUAGCAUAGACCAGACCAGGUGUACCAUGUAUCCAAUACACAGUGAGUAUGACUUUUCCUGAAAAAAUCAAAUAGGGCAUGCUUUUUGUGUGAUUUGAAUUCAUAGUUUUUUUAUUACCUAUAUAGAAAUGCAUUGUAUUGUAUGGCUACUUAAAAAAAAUGGAGCAAGAGUU